AUUUUUGGCAUGAAAUCCUUGUCCGUGAACUUCGAGGGAAACUGAGACCUCCUUUGUUUACCUGAUGAACAGCUUCUUACCUAUCUCACCACAACAGAAAGGACGCUGAUUUGCUUCCGUUUUCAAGCUACCAUUACCAAUGUGUCUCAUCGUUCGUAGAGGUGAUGCUUGCCCUCGAACAUUUACACCACUUUUUAGGAGUUCAAGUUCAGCUUCCUUCUUCUCCAACACUUGCUUAAGGUUUGAGAUCUAAAUAAACCAUAAAAAACACAAAGACAUCAAUUACAGUUUCUUUGUUAGAACGAGCUGCGCCAAGAUCUAUGGAGGCAACCCUCUCAGCAAAUUUGAGGGUGCUAACUGUUUCUCCAAAUGCAUCUGCCUCUGGAUUUAUGUGCAUGAACAUCAAUGUCUUUGCCUGACCACCUGUAAGGGAGUACGGAAGGUACCUGUGAGACCUGCUGCUCCGCUCAUUUAAAGCAGUAGCACCAACAGCACGGUUCUUUUGCCCGAUUCUCAUCAAAUCAACAACAUCUUGAGUGCAUGUAACUGGAAUCAGACUAGCAUCAGCAGUGAAACCAUUAUUACUCCAGCUGUUUUCACGUUUCCCACCACAAAUGCAGUCACUGGAGACCAAACUAGUUCUGUGCCGCAAAUAAUUUGAUAUGGCUUCGAGAACUUCUGAUCUUGAUAAAGGACUGCACUCAUCCGCCAAUAUUUUCUUCAGAAAAAGUCUGAGCUGCAGGUGUCAAAGUAACUGUCAAUCUACCACAUUCGUUGACAAACUUUAAUCGUAUUAACAUUGGUAUUACACAGGAAAAUGCCUAUGUAAAGUUGCUGUUAUUACCUGAUUGCUUUGAGAAACCAGCAAUCCAGAGAAGUUCUUGACUACUUUCCUCAACACAGCAUCAAUUACCUGAAAAUGUUCAUCCUUAGUCCACUAGAAGGAAUGACACUUGAAAUUUGUCUAACAUGAGAUGCCUGAAAACUAGAAGACACCUACAAUUGUGAGUGACAUAAGUGAAGAAAUAAGUAGCUUUGAUAUCAGUGUCAAACUUUUAAGUAGAAAGGGCAAAAAUUGUCAGAGUGGUGAUGUGUUAAGAAGAUAUGGUGAUAAGGCAGGAUAGCCAACAAUGUCCUGAUAAUUAUAGAGACCUUCAGGCAAGUUUUUGAACCAUUCAAUGCAACUUCUUCCUCUACAUUCUGAAUAUAUGGUAAUCGGCAAAGUUACACUUGCUUCAUGUAUUCAUUUAUUUUAUCAUUUCGAUGAGUUACACUUGCUUCAUGUAUUCAUUUAUUUUAUCAUUUCGAUGCUUUGCCACAUAUCCAUUAUUAACGAGCCAUAAAUAAAAUGUAUGUACCAACUACUUGAUUGCUGAUAGACUUCACAUAAGUUGUAUCAAUCUAACAAGCUAUGACUUCUAUAAGGACGUCCUAUUUUUAGAAAAACUACAGUCUUACCUACCAUUGAAUUCAAAGGGAAGUCCACAACUCCAUCCCUCUCCAUAAGAUAAGCCUGUAGAAGCCCAAGGCCAAAGCGAUCAAAGAGGAACGUCAGUAUAUUGGAAGCAUUUGAUUCUUCAAGCGAGACUUCGCCAGAUAAAUGGAGAAAUUCCAACAGCUGGUCGAAUUGUGAUGACUCGGAGUCAUCCACUGACUCAUCUGCACUGUCACUACCACCAAACGAGGACAGUGAUCCUUUGGGACAGGACGUGAUCCUGACAGUUCCCCCAUACUUCCAAACUCCAAUUCCUCCAGCUUGUUUCCAUUCAUAAUAUCCUUUUAGGCACAAAAUGCAGUCUACAACCUUGUUUGAUGAACCACCCUACAAGUUCAAAACCUUUGUUCAAUACAAUGUACCUUGGUUAAAAAAAUGUGAAACAUACUUGCAUAUAGUCUGAGCCAACGUGAAAAAACUGAUUAAUCUAACCUUUUCAAGAUCAGAUGCUUCGCAUGUUAAAAGCUGCAUUUUUCCAACAGCUACAAGAAAAUUCCUCAUGUUCUCGAAAUAUUGAAUAGCAGAUUGGGCUGCACAUUCUGAGGACAUAUCGACCACUGAAUUCACAACCACCUAUAUCUCAGAGAAUGAGGCCAUUGCGAAGAGCACAACGGAAUUCUUCUUCGCUUGGUUCUUUUGGGAGCACCUCCGAUGCACCGGAGUCCAUCUGCCUUAGCCAUUCCGCCGCCUGGUACCUCCUUGCAGCUGCAAGUAAUUAAUUCCUAAUUUUAGUUUGAAAAUUUUAGAAGCAAAUUAGUAGUGUCAUAUAUGUCUUAAUUUCCCCAUGCAUGGUGUUCCUCCUUUAGUAAUUUGUGUAACUAUUUUAUAUUAUUAGUGAUUCGGUUACUAUAUUAUCUGUUAUUGCUACUGUUAGUCUUCUUUAUGUUUAGC
Molecule: long non-coding RNA, 2386 nt
Organism: Solanum dulcamara
Lineage: Eukaryota; Viridiplantae; Streptophyta; Magnoliopsida; Solanales; Solanaceae
Exons: 6
Source: RefSeq, a predicted model, not a curated record